CAAAUCACAACAAACAUGAACUCCUCUCCCUCUGUUAUCAGUGUUAAAAAUAGAUCAGAAAAAUGUGAAGCAAAUGAUGCGGUGAGCUCAGCAUCACCCUGACUAUCACACCAAAUCUCCCCGGCGACCAAUGUGAUUAUAUUGUAUGUUGAUGCAAUGUGUAUGUACAUUACAAAAACAUAAAGAAUAAUAAAUAUA
Molecule: long non-coding RNA, 198 nt
Organism: Thalassophryne amazonica
Lineage: Eukaryota; Metazoa; Chordata; Actinopteri; Batrachoidiformes; Batrachoididae
Exons: 3
Source: RefSeq, a predicted model, not a curated record